RNAcentral lists this ribosomal RNA (301 nucleotides) under uncultured bacterium. Its description in RNAcentral is "partial 16S ribosomal RNA". It matches the Rfam family "Bacterial small subunit ribosomal RNA", at positions 509 to 807 of the family's 1533-position model. The record is from RNAcentral.
CAGCCGCCGCGGUAAUACGUAGGGUGCAAGCGUUAAUCGGAAUUACUGGGCGUAAAGCGUGCGCAGGCGGUUUGUUAAGACAGAUGUGAAAUCCCCGGGCUCAACCUGGGAACUGCAUUUGUGACUGGCAAGCUAGAGUCUGGCUGAGGGGGGUGGAAUUCCGCGUGUAGCAGUGAAAUGCGUAGAUAUGCGGAGGAACACCGAUGGCGAAGGCAGCCCCCUGGGCCAACACUGACGCUCAUGCACGAAAGCGUGGGGAGCAAACAGGAUUAGAUACCCCCGUAGUCCCUGUCUCUUAUAC